RNAcentral lists this long non-coding RNA (973 nucleotides) under Cricetulus griseus (Chinese hamster). Its description in RNAcentral is "lncRNA (ENSCGRG00015042423.1)". The record is from RNAcentral. Lineage: Eukaryota; Metazoa; Chordata; Mammalia; Rodentia; Cricetidae.
CAGAAGGUCAGAGAAGGGAGGGCAGAGCACGGAGACCGGGGCGGAAAGGAGGCGUGGCCAGAGAAGGAGGCGGGCCUCAGAGAGGUGGUCCCCAGGAGGAAGUGGGCGUGGCCGUGCCUUGGGAACCGUGGGUGGGUGGCUAGGAUGUAAACAAAAGCCUCCCUCCCGUGCUUUAAGAGAGCGUUCAGGGACGAAAGAAUCAUAACAAAGACAGGAAGCCAAGUAGUGAACAAACAGAAUUCAAAAAGUGCCUAAUGGACUCCAGGCCUGGGCCAGAAGCAGAGCCCGAGGGAGUCUUGGACAUCCCUCCCGGGAAGUGGCAGUAACAAAAGAAGUGGCCCGGGGCUCUUGGGGAGGUGGCAGAUGGACCCAUACCGGAAGGUGACUCUGAGGCCCCAUGAGACCCGGAGUCUGAAGGCCAGGCAGGGAGAGGUGACAAGGGGAGACGAUGGCGCUGCUGUGGGGAUGAGUCACGUUGUCGCCUGCCCCAGUGACGGAGUCAGCACAUCGUCAGAGGAAAGUGAGCUGCAUGCCUUCCUAGGGCCCGAGAAGUAAAUACAUGCACAGACACACAGAAGCACCCGGGAGAUCGGAACAGGAAGUGGAUUCCGUGGGAGGCAGAGCUAAAGGUCCCUGUGAGCAGUCUCGAAGCAUCCCCAGGCCCAGGUGGGCUGAGGAUGCAGAAGUGGGGAUCCUGAGUCCCCACCACGCGGCAGCACCCAGUGGCUUAUGGGAAAGGAAACAUCAGACAGAAUUGUGAUGGAACUCUGUCACCAUCUAGAUGAGUACUCUAGUAUUUAUGCUUGCCUCUGUUGGGGAAGUCUCAGUCUUAGGAUCUGUUACAGAUAGAUGCUGUGACUCCUGAUUGAAAGGAGACAGUGAGAGGAGAGAAGCGACGUUCACGCCCACGACUGAGAGCACCAGUGAUUGUGUCGUGCAGCCUGUAUUAGCUACUGCUUCCAUGUAUAUCUGC